This 164-nucleotide ribosomal RNA is filed under the name Rubus innominatus. RNAcentral's name for it is "5.8S ribosomal RNA". It matches the Rfam family "5.8S ribosomal RNA". From Rfam's summary of the family: 5.8S ribosomal RNA (5.8S rRNA) is a component of the large subunit of the eukaryotic ribosome. It is transcribed by RNA polymerase I as part of the 45S precursor that also contains 18S and 28S rRNA. Functionally, it is thought that 5.8S rRNA may be involved in ribosome translocation. The record is from RNAcentral. Lineage: Eukaryota; Viridiplantae; Streptophyta; Magnoliopsida; Rosales; Rosaceae.
UAAACGACUCUCGGCAACGGAUAUCUCGGCUCUCGCAUCGAUGAAGAACGUAGCGAAAUGCGAUACUUGGUGUGAAUUGCAGAWUCCCGUGAACCAUCGAGUCUUUGAACGCAAGUUGCGCCCGAAGCCAUUAGGCCGAGGGCACGCCUGCCUGGGCGUCACAC